This is a long non-coding RNA of Carassius carassius (crucian carp), 460 nucleotides long. RefSeq lists it as uncharacterized. Lineage: Eukaryota; Metazoa; Chordata; Actinopteri; Cypriniformes; Cyprinidae. The record is from RefSeq and is a predicted model, not a curated record. The transcript is spliced from 4 exons.
UUGAUUACUCGGUCAGACCUGGAUUAUUUUAUAUCUGCCUGUUGAAUUCUUACAUUUUGAGCGAAUUAUAGUUGACAUGUCAAUGAAGAUCAAAAGCUUGAAUGUGAACAGAGGAAGGGGUUGUACGUGGUCUGUAAAUACUGGCGAUAUCAGAUCAAGCAUUGGAAUAAGAUUUUUAUCGGGGGAGAACACCCAACAGAAAGACCCAUGAUUCACCAACUGGCGCACUGAAACGGGAGAUUCAUGUCACCUUCAUCAGUUCUUUCUUUAAUCACUGGACACCAUUAAGGGAAAGACCCUCAGAUAACAGGAUAAAUGCGGCUGCAGGUUUUGACAGAUUGGACUAGUUAACUUACUUCAACAACUUCUGGAUGAGGGUUUUGACAAGUAAGUUGCUGAAUUAGUGCUGGGCGGUUUGACCAAAAAUUUAUAUUAGACAAGCUGAAUCCCUUAGUUUUUU